Molecule: non-coding RNA, 75 nt
Organism: Myotis brandtii (Brandt's bat)
Lineage: Eukaryota; Metazoa; Chordata; Mammalia; Chiroptera; Vespertilionidae
Source: Rfam
GGAGGUUCUCAGGUGAUGCAACCCAGAAUCGGGCUCCCUCCUCUCUGGUUCCAAGUGCAUCACCGGAGAACCGCA